RNAcentral lists this ribosomal RNA (407 nucleotides) under uncultured bacterium. Its description in RNAcentral is "partial 16S ribosomal RNA". It matches the Rfam family "Bacterial small subunit ribosomal RNA", at positions 28 to 526 of the family's 1533-position model. The record is from RNAcentral.
GACGAACGCUGGCGGCGUGCCUAAUACAUGCAAGUAGAACGCAGUUGCGAACGGGUGAGUAACGCGUAGGUAACUGCCUGGUAGCGGGGGAUAACUAUUGGUAACGAUAGCUAAUACCGCCUACUACUAGAUGGACCUGCGUUGGAUUAGCUAGUUGGUGGGGUAAUGGCUCACCAAGGCAACGAUACAUAGCCGACCUGGGAGGGGGAACGGCAAAACUGGGACUGAGAAACGGCCCAGACUCCUACGGGAGGCAGCAGUAGGGAAUCUUCGGCAAUGGACGGAAGUCUGACCGAGCAACGCCGCGUGAGUGAAGAAGGUUUUCGGAUCGUAAAGCUCUGUUGUAAGAGAAGCGGUAUCUUACCAGAAAGGGACGGCUAACUACGUGCCAGCAGCCGCGGUAAUUC